Molecule: non-coding RNA, 269 nt
Organism: Pelobates cultripes (western spadefoot toad)
Lineage: Eukaryota; Metazoa; Chordata; Amphibia; Anura; Pelobatidae
Source: the annotation of a GenBank genome assembly
AAAGGCUUCAACAACGAGGUGUGAAAGACAUUAGGAAUACGCAGAUUCUUAGGGAGACCCAAGGCAUACGAAACAGGAUUAACCUUAUGCAGAAUACGAUAAGGACCAAUAAAGCGGGGAGCCAAUUUCAUAGAAGGCACCCAGAGGCAAAUGUUUCGCGUAGAAAGCAGAACCCUGUCCCCCACAACAUAAGAAGGAGCCGCCCUGCGAUGCUUGUCAGCCUGCACCUUCUGGCGAGCAGCGGAAUCCACCAAAGAACGCUGAACCUG